This 189-nucleotide ribosomal RNA is filed under the name uncultured bacterium. Its description in RNAcentral is "partial 16S ribosomal RNA". It matches the Rfam family "Bacterial small subunit ribosomal RNA", at positions 338 to 524 of the family's 1533-position model. The record is from RNAcentral.
CCUACGGGAGGCAGCAGUGAGGAAUAUUGGACAAUGGGCGCAAGCCUGAUCCAGCCAUGCCGCGUGCAGGAAGACGCAUCUAUGGUGUGUAAACUGCUUUUGUACGGGAAGAAACACUCCCUCGUGAGGGAGCUUGACGGUACCGUAAGAAUAAGGAUCGGCUAACUCCGUGCCAGCAGCCGCGGUAAU